GAUGAACGCUGGCGGCGUGCCUAACACAUGCAAGUCGAGCGGACGGACGAGAAGCUUUCUUUUUUGAUGUUAGCGGCUGACGGGCGAGUAACGCGUGCAUAACCUACUUAUAUGUCUGGGAGAAUUUCGGGAAACCGGUGCUACUACCGGAUCAUACUUUCUACCGCAUGGUUCAAAAGUGAAUGACGGUCUUGCUGUCUCUUAUAGCUGGAUCCGCGCUGCAUUAGCUACUUGGUAAGGUAACGGCUUACCAAGGCAACGAUGCGUAGCCGACCUGAGAGGGUGAUCAGCCACACUGGAACUGAGACACGGUCCAGACUCCUACGGGAGGCAGCAGUAGGGAAUCUUCGGCAAUGGGCGAAAGCCUGACGGAGCAACGCCGCGUGAGUGAAGAAGGUCUUCGGAUCGUAAAGCUCUGUUAUUAGGGAAGAACAUAUGUGUAAGAAACUGUGGACAUCUUGACGGUACCUAAACAGAAAGCCACGGCUAACUACGUG
Molecule: ribosomal RNA, 497 nt
Filed under: uncultured bacterium
Lineage: Bacteria
Description: partial 16S ribosomal RNA
Rfam family: Bacterial small subunit ribosomal RNA
Source: RNAcentral